This 72-nucleotide transfer RNA is filed under the name Camelus bactrianus (Bactrian camel). It matches the Rfam family "tRNA". From Rfam's summary of the family: Transfer RNA (tRNA) molecules are approximately 80 nucleotides in length. Their secondary structure includes four short double-helical elements and three loops (D, anti-codon, and T loops). The record is from Rfam by way of RNAcentral. RNAcentral also lists the same sequence under 2 other names. Lineage: Eukaryota; Metazoa; Chordata; Mammalia; Artiodactyla; Camelidae.
GAGGGUAUAGCUUAGUGGCAAACUGCAUGCUUAGCAUGCACGAGGUCCUGGGUUUGAUCCCCAGUACCUCCA